GCUGAGGAUCUAACCCGGCGCCCCGCGCAUGCCAGGCGAGCAUGCUGCCGCUUGAGCCACAUCCCCAGCCCCAACAAUCCAAUUUUUUAAAUGAGCAAAAGAUUUGAUUAGUUGAGUGCAGCAAGCCCACACCUGUAAUCCCAGCAGUUUGGGAGGGUGAGGCAGGAGGAUCCCACGUUUGAGUUCAACCUGUGCAACUUAGUGGGACCCUGUCUCAAAAUAAAAUAAAAGGGCUGGGGCUGGGGCUCAGUGGUAGAGUGGGAUCCUCCUGCUUAACAAUGUUUGGACCUAAACCUAAUGGGCCAGAUACAGAAGGCAGAUCUUGGAGUCUACAGCACUGAUAAUCAUGGGGACUUCCCUUUGGAAGAAGGAGGAAAGAGUCUUAACAGAAGCAGCCAUAGAACUCAGUCACACUCAGAAUGAUCUCUUGAUCAAAAUUUGGAGGUUAGUGGGACAGACCAAUUUGUGGGGCCAAAGAAAGACAAGCAACUGCACUAAAAACUUAUGUUCAUGACUCUUCAGCCAACAACUGGUUGGAUGAGCUCCAUUAUUUUCUAUGGGACAUUUGUAGCCUAGUUUUAAAAGUUCUUUCAUAUUCUGAAUAUCAACCCCUUAUCACAUAUAUAAUUUGCAAACAUUUUCUCCUAUUUUUGAAUUACCUUUACCCUCUUGUGGAGAGUUCUGGUAGCUCUACAUCCUUGUCAACACUCAGUGUCAUUUUUUUUUCUUUUUAAGCCGUUCCAUGGGUAUGUAAUAUAUCUCAUUGUCAACUAAUGAUGUUGAGCAUUUUUUGAUGAGCUUAUUGGUCAUUUGCAUAGCUUUAUAAAAUGGUUGUUUACUUAGAGUUUGUUU
Molecule: long non-coding RNA, 852 nt
Filed under: Marmota monax (woodchuck)
Lineage: Eukaryota; Metazoa; Chordata; Mammalia; Rodentia; Sciuridae
Source: RNAcentral